Molecule: ribosomal RNA, 668 nt
Rfam family: 5.8S ribosomal RNA (bases 239-392)
UGAGAUGGAGCCUAUUGAGAGCCUGCGCUUAGUUGCGCGGCUUGAGAGAAAGUUCAAAUUUAAAGUCUCUUUUUACAAAUCUUCUACACACAGUGGAGUUUUUCUACUUUACUUAUUUUCUUCUUCUUUGGGGGAGUGCAAGCUUUCCCAAAGGUGACAAACACAAACAAUUUUGUAUGUUAUUUUAAAAACUAUAAUAGUCAAAAGAAAUUUCGUUUUAUGAAAUAAAAAUAUUUAAAACUUUCAACAACGGAUCUCUUGGUUCUCGCAUCGAUGAAGAACGCAGCGAAAUGCGAUACGUAAUGUGAAUUGCAGAAUUCCGUGAAUCAUCGAAUCUUUGAACGCACAUUGCGCCCUCUGGUAUUCCAGGGGGCAUGCCUGUUUGAGCGUCAUUUCCUUCUCAAACACAUGUGUUUGGUAGUGAGUGAUACUCUAUAUACUGGGUUAACUUGAAAUUGCUAGCCUCUUUUGGCAGUGUGAGCUUACUUGGAUGGAGCGAUUUGUCCAGUCUGCUGAUACCAAAACGUUGUAUUAGGUUUUACCAACUCGACGGAAGUAGUAUUGGUGGGUGUUUUAAAGGCAAGUAUGUUUUCUUUACGAGAUAGGUUAAUGCUUCCAGGCGAACAAUACUCUCAAAGUUUGACCUCAAAUCAGGUAGGACUACCCGC